CAGCCGCCGCGGUAAUACGUAGGUGGCAAGCGUUGUCCGGAAUUAUUGGGCGUAAAGGGCUCGCAGGCGGUUUCUUAAGUCUGAUGUGAAAGCCCCCGGCUCAACCGGGGAGGGUCAUUGGAAACUGGGAAACUUGAGUGCAGAAGAGGAGAGUGGAAUUCCACGUGUAGCAGUGAAAUGCGUAGAGAUGUGGAGGAACACCAGUGGCGAAGGCGACUCUCUGGUCUGUAACUGACGCUGAGGAGCGAGAGCGUGGGGAGCGAACAGGAUUAGAUACCCCGGUAGUCCCUGUCUCUUAUAC
Molecule: ribosomal RNA, 301 nt
Filed under: uncultured bacterium
Lineage: Bacteria
Description: partial 16S ribosomal RNA
Rfam family: Bacterial small subunit ribosomal RNA
Source: RNAcentral